Molecule: transfer RNA, 65 nt
Filed under: Rhagastis castor
Lineage: Eukaryota; Metazoa; Arthropoda; Insecta; Lepidoptera; Sphingidae
Description: tRNA-Tyr
Source: RNAcentral
AAUAAAAUGGCUGAGUUUAAGCAAUAAAUUGUAAAUUUAUUUACGAGAAAUAUUCUCUUUUAUUA